AAUGAACGCUGGCGGCGUGCUUUACACAUGCAAGUUGAGCGAGGCCACCCGCAAGGGUGAGUCGAGCGGCGAACGGGUGAGUAACGCGUGGAUAACCUGCCCUGAGGUGGGGAAUAACCCGGGGAAACUCGGGCUAAUACCGCAUGAUACCAAGCGGUCAAAGGGGGCUCGCAAGAGCUCCUGCCACAGGAGGGGUCCGCGUUCGAUUAGCUAGUUGGUAGGGUAAUGGCCUACCAAGGCGACGAUCGAUAGCCGGCCUGAGAGGGUGAUCGGCCACACUGGAACUGAGACACGGUCCAGACUCCUACGGGAGGCAGCAGUGGGGAAUUUUGCGCAAUGGGCUAACGCCUGACGCAGCAACGCCGCGUGGAGGAUGAAGGUCUUUGGAUUGUAAACUCCUGUCAGCAGGG
Molecule: ribosomal RNA, 410 nt
Filed under: uncultured bacterium
Lineage: Bacteria
Description: bacterial SSU rRNA
Rfam family: Bacterial small subunit ribosomal RNA
Source: RNAcentral